Molecule: ribosomal RNA, 177 nt
Filed under: uncultured eukaryote
Lineage: Eukaryota
Description: partial small subunit ribosomal RNA
Rfam family: Eukaryotic small subunit ribosomal RNA
Source: RNAcentral
ACAUUAGCAUGGAAUAACGAAUGUGUCUGGAAUAUUGGUUAAUUCUAGAUUACGAUUAAUAGGGACAGUUGGGGGCAUUAGUAUUUAAUUGUCAGAGGUGAAAUUCUUGGAUUUAUUAAAGACUAACGUAUGCGAAAGCAUUUGCCAAGGAUGUUUUCAUUGAUCAAGAACGAAAGU